Molecule: long non-coding RNA, 781 nt
Filed under: Vigna radiata
Lineage: Eukaryota; Viridiplantae; Streptophyta; Magnoliopsida; Fabales; Fabaceae
Description: long non-coding RNA (VRAD_LNC009299)
Source: RNAcentral
UUUGCAUCCCUUAUCAUAACCUAACUCUUUAGGUUAACUUUCUCAUUUUCUAUUUGAUACUUUAUUUAAUUGAUAGUCAUAAUUUAAGACCCACCAGCCGACGGAGGGGUUGCUGCUCUCAACCCCAUGAAACCACGUGGGCGCGCACCAUACAUUUAUAUAGCAGGUACCUUUCAUCCUCUCAGAAUCAACCAGAAGAAAAGAUGGAAGAGGGAGAAAUGAAGAUGGAAGAGAGUUACACACUCGUGUGCUUUCUCCAUCUCUCCAAUAUUAAAUCAUGAUUGAAGGAGACUCAAGCAGUGCUCACUUCUCGUAACUCUGUCAUCAGGUUCAACAUUUUGGCUGUGCUCUCAUCUUAUCUUUUUAAUUAAUCAUACAACCAUACUUUCUAUAUAUACUCUUUUUAAUUGUUCUAGUUUUUACAGUGUUUUCUCUUCAACCAGAUCUCAAUGUAUUUCUACAGACUCUCAUAUUUCUAAUGCUCUAUGAUCCUGCACUCUUGUGCAUAUGUACCAUGUUCUUGCUAUGUGUACCACAGCUUAUAAUGAGUGAAUAAAAUAUGUUUAUUUUGGUUCACUGAAGAUGUUUUAUUUUUGGUAAGUAAUGUGUAAUGGGUUAGUUGGGAUAUUUAAUGAUUUUCCACAAUAUAUACAUCCUUUUAAUAAAAGGGGGUCUAAUUAAAAUGUAUAGGUCAAAUGUAUAUGGGAUUUUAUGUUUGUCCCCUUUAGUUUUUGGACUAUUUUGGUUGGGUUGCACCUCUUUAUAUACCAUUAUAUCACAG